Fukomys damarensis (Damara mole-rat) is the source of this 503-nucleotide long non-coding RNA. RefSeq lists it as uncharacterized. The record is from RefSeq and is a predicted model, not a curated record. The transcript is spliced from 3 exons. Lineage: Eukaryota; Metazoa; Chordata; Mammalia; Rodentia; Bathyergidae.
GCAGGGGCCAGGCUCUCCGGAGCUUCCCGUGCACAAGGAUGCAGGAGUGACACAAGAUACAAUCUCUGCCUCCAGAGUUUUUGCAAUGACCCUAAAAUGAAAAUUCCAAAUGAAUUUCAAGAAGUCAAACACAGGAGCAUCUCACAGUCGGUGAUGUUGGGUUGAUGGAGGCCCCAGAUUUCAAAGUGGCAGGGCCUGUCAGACAGGCACCAAGAAGAGGGAUGAGCAGCCGCAAGCUCAGAGAAGCUCUGUCACAGAAAACUUUGCGGGGACUCAGAACUGUGGGGGGCAGGACGGGGGGCACAAUGAAUGAGGGGGAUGCAAGAGGCCAGGGUGGCACCAUGCUGAGCUCCUGAACACUGGAGAGAACCAAGCAGUGGCUGGUGAUUCCACUAAGACGCAGGAGAAGAUUUGGGACCCGGAGCUUCCUGUACAGCAUGGGCCUGGAUUUAGAGUUCAGAGGGCCUGCUUGACCUGGGGCAAGGACAGAAGCUCCCUGCACC